GACAGAAAAGGCAAGCAUUGCUCGGAAUUACUGGGCGUAAAGGGCGCGUAGGCGGGAUGGCAAGUCGGUCGUGAAAUCCCUCAGCUCAACUGAGGAUCGUCGAUCGAUACUGCCGUUCUUGAGGAUUGCAGAGGAGACUGGAAUUCCCGAUGUAGCGGUGAAAUGUGUAGAGAUCGGGAGGAACACCGAUGGCGAAGGCGGGUCUCUGGGCAAUUCCUGACGCUGAAGCGCGAAAGCGUGGGGAGCAAACGGG
RNAcentral lists this ribosomal RNA (253 nucleotides) under uncultured bacterium. RNAcentral's name for it is "partial 16S ribosomal RNA". It matches the Rfam family "Bacterial small subunit ribosomal RNA", at positions 524 to 776 of the family's 1533-position model. The record is from RNAcentral.